This 512-nucleotide long non-coding RNA is filed under the name Brassica rapa (field mustard). RNAcentral describes it as "long non-coding RNA (BRAP_LNC006446)". The record is from RNAcentral. Lineage: Eukaryota; Viridiplantae; Streptophyta; Magnoliopsida; Brassicales; Brassicaceae.
ACUUCAAACUAAAAAUAUAAAAAAAAAUCAAAUUUAAAAAUUAGUAUAGAAAAUUUAAUAUACAAAAAUUCACAUACAAAUAAAAAUGAUAAAUCUAACGAAUUUAAAUAUAUUAUCCGCGCGUAGCGCGGAGAAAGGAUCUAGUAACAUUAAUAUAGACAAGCAAAGACUCUUUAUGAGACAAACAAAUACUUUUUGUAAACCAAAUAUAAACACAACUGCAAACAAAGCUUAGUUGUACCAUCAAAAUACUACUUUCCCAUCGACGUCUUCAUCAAAACACUACUAACCCCAUCAACAUCUUCAUCAUAACUCUACUUACCCAUUGACACAAUCACUCCAAGAACCACAACAAACCUGACAGUUGAAGAUAUCAGCAAAUUUCAAAAUACCAUGCUCCUCGUUCAGUAUCAACACUUCACGCUUCAGAGACUUACAUUCUUCAGGGUUUAACUUCAGCUUUUCAACAAUUGAGCUUAGAUUUACAAAUUCUCUUUUUUUUUUCUUAUGAG